CGUGAAUUAUUUAUAUACAUACGCAGCAGUAAACCGAACCUAGGAAUUAUUUGUAUUUUCGUGUUAACGCCAUCAUUCGUGUCCUAUUUUGUUUUAUUUUUUUCCCUUCCCCUAACUUGAAAAAAGAAAAUAAUUUAACACUCGUGCCUGACAGUGGUUUUUGCUGAAAAGGACACUACUGCAAGUACAGCAAGCACACCCCAUUACACGGUUUUAGAAAACGAAAGAUCAAUAGGAGGCCAUUAGAAAGGAGUUGUAGUAGGUAAAGUCGACAAAAAAAAGUAUCGGGUGAAAACGUCACGGUCCUUGGG
Non-coding RNA from Cinara cedri, 311 nucleotides. Lineage: Eukaryota; Metazoa; Arthropoda; Insecta; Hemiptera; Aphididae. The record is from the annotation of a GenBank genome assembly.